This 330-nucleotide small nuclear RNA is filed under the name Sorex araneus (European shrew). RNAcentral's name for it is "7SK RNA (ENSSARG00000018255.1)". It matches the Rfam family "7SK RNA". Rfam says of the family: 7SK was discovered as an abundant small nuclear RNA in the mid-70s but a possible function has only recently been suggested. Two independent studies have found that 7SK RNA binds the CDK9/cyclin T complex (known as elongation factor P-TEFb). P-TEFb activates transcription by phosphorylating the C-terminal domain of RNA polymerase II. The record is from RNAcentral. Lineage: Eukaryota; Metazoa; Chordata; Mammalia; Eulipotyphla; Soricidae.
GGAUAUGAGGGAGAUCUGACGACAUCUGUCACCCAUUGAUCGCCAGAUAUCAUUUCACUGAUCUUGCUGGCUAGGCGGAUGUCCCCUUCCUUAUUCACUGCUUCACACGCGUCUGUUGGGAAGCUGAGUGCUUGGUCGAAGAGGACAGACUUCCCAAAAUAGAGACAGACUGGUCUAAGGUCUUAGGUCUUAGAUCUUAGGUGGGUAAUGAGUAACGGGACUCUCUUGCUAGAACCUCCAAACAAGUUUCCAACUAGAACACACUUCAAAGAUAGUUUGUCUUCAGAUUCUUUAACUUCCUGUUUGACAAUAUCUACGUAGUUAUUAACA